Molecule: non-coding RNA, 476 nt
Organism: Podarcis lilfordi (Lilford's wall lizard)
Lineage: Eukaryota; Metazoa; Chordata; Lepidosauria; Squamata; Lacertidae
Source: the annotation of a GenBank genome assembly
CAAUUAAAAACAAUAUCACCUUUUCAUUUCCGUUUUUAAAUUCACUUAUUUUCUGGACUUCCUGAUAUCUCCCUCUUUUGUAUUCCAGUCCAAAUUGUUUGUCCAGCAAUUUCUUUUCCACUUUUUUAAUCCCAAUCUUUAAUCUUAAUGUAAUAUAGCAUUAAAAUUUUACCUCUUAAGUACCAAAUUUCCAUUUCAUUAAAUUUCUUUAAUCCUAAUCUUUAAUCUUAGUCUAUCUAUAACUUUAUCCUGUACAGCUGGAAACCACUUAUUUUCAAUCCAACAUCACUCUAACAUUCUUUAAUUUUGCAGUGUUUCUGUAGAUAAUCUUUGAAUUUCUUCCAAUCUUCCUCCACCGACUCUUCUCCCUGGUCACGGAUUCUGCCAGUCAUUUCCGCCAGUUCCAUAUAGUCCAUCAGUUUCAUCUGCCAUUCCUCCAGCGUGGGAAGUUCUUGUGUCUUCCAAUACUUUGCGAU